Molecule: ribosomal RNA, 492 nt
Filed under: uncultured bacterium
Lineage: Bacteria
Description: partial 16S ribosomal RNA
Rfam family: Bacterial small subunit ribosomal RNA
Source: RNAcentral
AGUGAACGCUGGCGGUAGGCCUAACACAUGCAAGUCGAACGGCAGCACAGUAAGAGCUUGCUCUUACGGGUGGCGGGUGGCGGACGGGUGAGGAAUACAUCGGAAUCUAAUUUUUCGGGGGGGAUAACGGAGGGAAACUUACGCUAAUACCGCAUACGACGAACGGGUGAAAGCAGGGGAUCUUCGGACCUUGCGCGAUUGAUUGAGCCGAUGUCGGAUUAGCUAGUUGGCGGGGUAAGGGCCCACCAAGGCGACGAUCCGUAGCUGGUCUGAGAGGAUGAUCAGCCACACUGGAACUGAGACACGGUCCAGACUCCUACGGGAGGCAGCAGUGGGGAAUAUUGGACAAUGGGCGCAAGCCUGAUCCAGCCAUACCGCGUGGGUGAAGAAGGCCUUCGGGUUGUAAAGCCCUUUUGUUGGGAAAGAAAAGCAGCAGGUUAAUACCCCGCUGUUCUGACGGUACCCAAAGAAUAAGCACCGGCUAACUUCGUG